UGGGGUGUCGCCAAGUGGAUCAAGGCACGGGACUUUGACUCCCGCAUUCGGAGGUUCGAAUCCUCCCACCCCAG
This 74-nucleotide transfer RNA is filed under the name Chloroflexota bacterium. RNAcentral's name for it is "Chloroflexi bacterium (anaerobic digester metagenome) tRNA-Gln". It matches the Rfam family "tRNA". From Rfam's summary of the family: Transfer RNA (tRNA) molecules are approximately 80 nucleotides in length. Their secondary structure includes four short double-helical elements and three loops (D, anti-codon, and T loops). Lineage: Bacteria; Bacillati; Chloroflexota. The record is from RNAcentral.